This 60-nucleotide microRNA precursor is filed under the name Parasteatoda tepidariorum (common house spider). Its description in RNAcentral is "microRNA pte-mir-87c precursor". Its record names the gene pte-mir-87c. Lineage: Eukaryota; Metazoa; Arthropoda; Arachnida; Araneae; Theridiidae. The record is from miRBase by way of RNAcentral.
GAACCUGAAAUUUUGUCUCAGCCGGAUAUUUUAAACUGUUGAGCAAAGUUUCAGGUGUAU